UUAUGUCUCGCAUUCUCCGGGGAUCUCUCAGGGCGAGCAGGAUCCAGCGGCGAUCGUGGAGCGCGUCCGUCGCGCCGGCGCCGGCGGAGGAUGAUCCCAGGAGCUUGUAUGGCAGUGGAUGGGAUGCGGGGCCGCGAGCGGUGAGAGUGGCGGUGUGGUGGGAUUUCGAGGACUGCGACAUCCCAGCUGGGAUUCCUGCGACGAAUGUGAGCAAUAAUAUCAUCUCUGGGCUGCGAACCAGGGGAUUCAAGGGUCCAGUGUCGAUCGACGCGUAUGGUGAUACAUGGCAGCUCUCGCGGAGCACACAGGAGGCGUUGGCUUCCACUGGGAUUUCUCUCCACCAUUUGCCAUCGUCUCGCAAGAAUUUGGCCUCAGAUCGAACUCUCAUGCUGGAUUUGGUGCUGUGGACUGUCGAUCAUCCGCCACCAGCGCAUCUCUUCGUCAUCUCCACGGACAGUGAUCUCUCCAGUGCAUUACACUCCCUCCGGAUGAAGAACUACAACGUUCUUCUGGCAUGCAACUCUCACUCGGCCUCCCCGGCUCUCCUUGCCGCAGCUUCGGUAGUAUGGCAGUGGGGUAAGCUCGCUAGAGGAGAAGGCCUAGUAGCACAGACAAUCGUGAGCAGCGUCCAUCGCUCCUCGCAGGAGUUUCUACAGGAAAUAAGUUCGCCGCCGCCACCGCCACCAUCGUCUCCUCCACCAUCAUUUACGCCGCCAACGCCAACGCCAACGCCUCCACCAUCAUUUACGCCGCCAACACCACCGCCACCUUUGUCUCCAUCGCUGCCAAGUUCGCCAUCUUCAUACACUCCAUCUCCGCCACCACCUAUUCCAGCAUCACCACGUCCAGCUCAAGAUUCUCUGCCAGGGAGACUAGAGAAACAGGAUUCUUUACAGGACUUCCACAAGGAUAUUUGCGCACUGCUCCAGCAAGCGGCCUCGACGCUCAGCCAAAAGCCUCCGGAAUCGAUGCUUUUGAGUGUGACCAAGGCAGGUAGGAAGGAUGAGCACUCCACAGCAACAGAGAACAGGAGUGUUUCGAAGGAAAAAGCCCUGGCGAAUACUGAAAACGACUCCGGCACCAACCAGCCCGAGUCUAUAAAGCAGUCGUCCUGUGAGGCACCGUCCGGGGGCUCCACGCAUGAUGCUCGGCAAAGAGAUAGCAAAGUCGCCGUCCAAGUCGCAAAGCAAGUAGCAGCCACCACCGAGAGCUCGACGACUCAGUGUCAGCGGCAGAUAAAUGCGGUGACAGUGAAGGAUGGAAACGCAGUGAGCACAUCUCAAAGUCGCUCGCCAGGUGCUGUCACCAGCGCCCACGAAGGAAAGUGGACGUGGAGAAGGUUUCUGUUCGGAUCCAAGGCUGCGAGUCGAGCAAAAGUCGAUGGUGGACAGGAGGAGAUUAAGGAAAGCUUUCCCAGCCAUUCUAUUUCUCCGCCAGACGAUGAGGCAUCAAAUCAAUCAUUUCCAAGGCGCUCCUGGAGUCACUUCUGGAGGCGUACAACGGCAGCAAAAGAGGACAAGGGAGACAACGCGUCGGAUAUUGUGAAACAGUUUUCUAAGACUGAGGAAGGUGCCUCCCUUUUAUCCAAAUCGCAAAGCCAGAAGGAAUUCACAAGCUUGCUUUGCGAGUCCGGACCGCCAUGCAUUCGAAACUGGGAAGAGGACAGGGUAUCAGAGGUCGUCAGCCGUCUCGUAGCCGAAAAGGAGAUUGAUGCCUCGGCAUGGGAGCUUGAAAAGGAUCCUUCCUCGCAGCUUAAAACGGAAGAAGAUGACAUCCAAAACUCGGACGACACUGCUCCCGCAUUAAAUGAUCAACCGUGUCCUUGGGAAACGAUACAGGGACACUACCCCAGCCUCGAGGAGCUGAGGAUUUGGAUGGUCUACUUUUUAAAUGUGGAACAGGAGCGGAGAAGCUUCGACGUCUCUCAUCUCAAGGCAGAGUUUAAGAAGCAGUUUGGCCUCUCUCUCAACCUCAACAUAUUCGGCUGUGUGAGGAUCAAGGACCUCUUGGGCGUCAUGCAAGACAUCGUUCACGUAUAUUAUCCGAAGUCUACAGUGUGCAUGAUAAGAACCAGGACGUUUCCCAGGCUGGCUAAGGUGAAUCCACGCUCGUUGAGUGAUUACGCACCGCUGCUCGAGGAGUUGCUACUGGAACACCCGGAUGGAAUUCCCAUUAGUAUGAUCAAGGCCAGGUUCUACAGCAAGUUUAGCUGCGACAUCGAUCAUCGAAAGCUUGGCUACUCGAGACUGGACAUGUUUUUGAGAGCUGCACGGAGUGACAUUUAUGCCAGACUGGACAGUGUGGAGCAUUCUGUCUAUGUCUUUAUUCGAAGACAAGAGGAAGAGAGUACUGGCGAGGAGGAGCAAGAGGAAGAAGAAGAACAAGGAAACGAAGGACGGCCAGCGAAAUUUAUCGUGGACAAGGAGAUCAGCCUAUGACACAGGACAGGACUAAAGCGUAAAAAAUGAAAACUGACACAAUGGAAUCACGCUCGAACUGGAAAGCUGAGAUGCUACAUGUGCUUUGCUAGUUGGCAGCGAGAAUUUUUGUUCGACGCAGGCUCUCCCAUCCACUCCGUCCUGGAAAAUCUUAUCUUUUGCUCUAAACUUGGAGCCAGAUACGUACCGAGAAUCGCUCCACAGCGCUUCUCUCGAGGGAGAUCAAAGAUGCUGCGCCAAGUUUCCAGUUUUCACCGGGGUCCAAGCACCCUGCGGAUUAAAAUCUCGUCGCCAAAGGCUGUCCAGCAGCUGGAUGCCUCUUCCAACCAGGAUUGCGACGUCUGGAUUACUCUAGGAUGAUUGAGAGGCGACCGACACAAAUCUCCUGUGGAAGCUGCAUUGGCUGUUAGAAAGCGUCAACAACCGUGAAAUAUACAAUGGCUGCGAGCGCGCGCGAGAACAAAAAAAAGGCGAGAAAAAUGGCAACGUGA
RNA transcript from Selaginella moellendorffii, 2929 nucleotides. RefSeq lists it as uncharacterized. Lineage: Eukaryota; Viridiplantae; Streptophyta; Lycopodiopsida; Selaginellales; Selaginellaceae. The record is from RefSeq and is a predicted model, not a curated record. The transcript has 5 exons.